Molecule: ribosomal RNA, 253 nt
Filed under: uncultured bacterium
Lineage: Bacteria
Description: partial 16S ribosomal RNA
Rfam family: Bacterial small subunit ribosomal RNA
Source: RNAcentral
UACAGAGGGUGCUAGCGUUGUUCGGAAUCAUUGGGCGUAAAGGGCGUGUAGGCGGUUUGUUAAGUCAUGUGUGAAAUCCCUCGGCUCAACCGGGGAACGACGCAUGAAACUGGCAAGCUAGAGUACCAAAGAGGGGGGUGGAAUUCCCGGUGUAGCGGUGAAAUGCAUAGAUAUGCCAUAGAACACCAAUUGCGAAGGCAGCUGGCUAGGCCUGGAUUGACGCUGAGGCACGAAAGCGUGGGGAGCGAACAGG